This 861-nucleotide long non-coding RNA is filed under the name Sorghum bicolor (sorghum). RNAcentral's name for it is "long non-coding RNA (SBIC_LNC018360)". The record is from RNAcentral. Lineage: Eukaryota; Viridiplantae; Streptophyta; Magnoliopsida; Poales; Poaceae.
UCCCUCCAUCCAAAAGGAAUGUAACUUUCACUUCCCGUGAAGUUAAGCAACUAAAAGUUUGACUAGAUUUAAUGAGAAGCUACAAACAUUUAUGAUGCCAAAUUAAUAUUAUUAGAUCAAGUAUGAAAUAUAUUCUCAUAGCAAUUAAACCAAUCGGAGAUAUAAACAUUGAUACUAUUAUAUCUAUAAGUGAAACUUAAACUAGUCUGACGUUCCAAAUCCUCUGUAUAUUUUUUCAUCCUUGGCAUCACAAAUACGCCGCUUUUGUUUAUAAUAAAUAGUAUGGCCACAUCUUUUUUUUUUGUUUUUUGAAAGGAGAUUACCUCUGCUUUUGAGAAAGCAAUAAAAGUUUUUACAGACUGGUGAUACCAGUUUACCAUAUUGCAAAAAACGAAAGAAGCUAGCUCACACUGCUAGUGCUAAACUCCUUAAACAACACACACUUAUUACAAGAUAACAAUGUCUGAAUUAAAGGUGUGAAGACGGCCACGCUUGCUGAUCCAGGACCCAAGGAUCUCCACCAUCUCAGAUAAGUAUAUCUUGUCGGCAUCCUUCAUAAGCUCUCUCCACAUCUGAAGAAGAUUGAUAGUAUUAUACAGAACCACAUUAGGAUUUGCAGGAAAGAUUUUCUGAAUAGCCAUACUAUUUCUAUUUUUCCAGAUUGCCCAUGAAAGAGCAGCAAAGAAAAUUAACACAAUUCUUUGGGGGACUCCCAGCCUCCUUGGCAGCCAACCAUAUAAGAAAUUCUGUUUUGACGUCGGGAAAUCAUGCCACCCAAAAGCAUCUCUAAUACAACACCAUAAGUAUUGUGAAAAGCAACACUCAAAGAAAAUGUGAUUAACAGUUUCAUGUUCGUUACAG